This 243-nucleotide long non-coding RNA is filed under the name Gossypium barbadense (sea-island cotton). RNAcentral describes it as "long non-coding RNA (GBAR_LNC020717)". The record is from RNAcentral. Lineage: Eukaryota; Viridiplantae; Streptophyta; Magnoliopsida; Malvales; Malvaceae.
AUUGAGGAAGCUGUAGUCUAGAUUCGAGAAGUAGCUGACCAUAUACAGACUUUAGCAGUACAAGCUGACACGCUGAGUGUGAAGUAUGAAUUAGAGUCAGAUCGGGGGCAAGAAUUGGCUUUGUUACUUAGAAAGAUUAGAGUUCUGGGUACUAGGGCAAGGUCGUAUUUGUAAUUCAUUUUAUGUAAAGGAAUUUAAUUUCUAGUAAAGUUUUCUUAUAUGGAAUUGAAUUCAAAUUGACGC